UGGCAGCUGAGGCAGGAAGUCGAUCUUUGGAGGAAACACCCACUUGGGCAGUUGCUGUUGUUUGUUUUGUGCUGGUUUCCAUUUCAAUCUUCAUUGAAUAUAUCAUUCACUCGAUUGGGAAGUGGCUAGCAAAGAGAAAAAAACGAGCUCUAUAUGAAGCUCUUGAAAAGAUUAAAUCAGAGCUUAUGCUGCUAGGAUUCAUAUCAUUGCUCCUAACGGUAGGACAAGGGCCUAUUACAAAAAUAUGUAUACCAAAAUCCAUAGGUGAUACUUGGCAUCCAUGUAAUAAAAAGCAAGAUAGUAAAUUAAACAACCAAAGAAAGCUUCUAUCAAACUCAUCAUCAGGUUCUAAUGGCAGCGACCGAAGGAUUUUAGCUGCUGACGGGGAUAACAAAUGCGCUUCAAAGGGGAAAGUCCCAUUUGUUUCAGCAGAAGGAAUCCAUCAACUUCAUAGAUUCAUCUUCGUACUAGCACUUUAUCAUGUGAUUUAUUGCAUUAUUACACUGGCUUUAGGCAGAGCCAAGAUGAGAAAAUGGAAAAAAUGGGAAAAGGAGACAAGAACAGCUGACUACCAGUUCUCACAUGACCCAGAGAGGUUCAGAUUCACAAGAGACACUUCAUUUGGGAGAAGGCAUCUAAAUUCUUGGAGUCAUUCAUCAAUUCUUUUAUGGGUAGUCUGUUUCUUCAGACAGUUCUUUAGAUCAGUUCUUAAGGUUGAUUACUUAACCCUGAGACAUGGGUUUAUCAUUGCACAUUUGGCACCCCAUAGUCAAAUUAAGUUUGAUUUCCACAAUUACAUCAAAAGAUCACUUGAAGAAGAUUUCAAAGAUGUGGUUGGAAUCAGCCCAAUUAUGUGGUUAUUUGCGGUCGCUUUCCUAUUGUUUAAUACUCAUGGCUGGUAUUCUUAUCUAUGGCUGCCAUUCGUCCCUCUAAUUGUUAUCUUAUUGGUAGGGACAAAACUACAGGUUAUUAUAACCAAGAUGGGUCUAAGGAUUCAGGAGAGAGGAGAGGUGGUUAAGGGUACCCCUCUGGUGGAGCCAGGUGAUGACCUUUUCUGGUUCAACAGGCCUCGUCUCCUUCUUUACCUCAUACACCUUGUCCUGUUUCAGGUUAUUCUAUAUUAUCAUUAAUUAUAUGGAUUUUUUUUUUAAAUUAUUAUUGUACUCUAAUGAUAAUUAAUCUCCCUUGUACAGAAUGCCUUUCAGCUUGCUUUCUUUGCAUGGUCCUGGGUAAGCCACUGAACCAUUUUUCCAGAGAAUUGCUUCUGUAACCAAGAAAAGUCGCUAAUUUUUUUCCUUUUUUCUUUGUUUGUUAGUAUGAAUUUGGCUUGAAGUCUUGCUUGCAUGAGCACCCAGAAGAUAUAGUUAUCAGGAUAACAAUGGGGUGUGUUUCCUUGAUCAUUACAAGUCAUUACCAAGCAAUUUUUGCAUUCAACUUAGGAAAAUUUUACUAAAAUUGUGAAUUUGAGAACAGGUUAAUAAUUCAGAUACUAUGCAGCUAUGUGACCCUUCCUCUGUAUGCCCUGGUGACACAGGUAUGCUUGCUGGUUACUGCUGCUUUUGCUUUUCUCUUAAUUUAGUAAUUCAUGUACUUCAAUAAUGGAAAAUUCUGAAUUACAUCAGAUGGGUUCAACGAUGAGGCCAACAAUAUUCAAUGAGAGAGUGGCCAAGGCCUUGAGAAGCUGGCACCAGGCAGCCAGGAAGCACAUAAAACAGAGUCGACAUUCUGGUUCUGUAACAUCAACUGUACCAGGCAGCAGUACUCCAUCUCGUAGUAUGUCCCCAGCUCAUCUUCUACGAAACUACAGAUGCGAUCCUGAAAGUGUUCAAACGUCCCCGAGGAUGUCUAAUCUGUUCGAUACUGAAGCUCGUGAAAUGGACAGCCCACAAGAUCGAAAUCAUCAUUGUCCAGAACUAAGCUCCACUUAUAUUCCUCCUGUUCGAAAUGCUAAUCGCUCUCAGCUCCAAAUCGAGAUAGAAACAAGUGAUUUUUCAUUUGAUGAAAGUGGAAGGAAAUGAAAUAUUUCUGAAUCAUUGUUAACAUGCAUUACAUCCUCUCAUUUCUUCCUCUACCUCCCAAUGUAUACCGUUACUGCGCUCUUGUUAAAAUUUAGGUUAAAUUACUUUUUCAUCCUUUAUUAUGUUAAAAUUAAAACUUAUCUUCCCUUCUCAGUCCUUUCCCCAUGACCAAAAAAAAUGACAGACAAUUACUGAAAGACCAUUGAAAUGGCAAUUCAGGCUCCACAAAUUUAAGAUGGGAACCUCCCAACAAAUUGAUUGACAAUGACCAGUAUUCAUUUACGUAUUCCCUAGAAAUAUCAGUUCAUCUUUUUCUUCUUUUGAGCAAGUACCAUAUACAACAAUGAUAAACAGUUUCCUCUAAAAAAAAUUAUAAAUGGUUGACAAGGUAAUUAACUUAUUCCUUCAUGUUAUCAGCCGCAGCAGAAGCUUUGCAGAUUGGACACAAGUUUUUCAUUGAUAGCCAUUUCUUGAUGCAGCUCACAUGGUAAUCAUGCCCACAAAUUUUCAACGAACCAACAUCAUCCAUGUCUUUGUACUCUUCCAGGCAAAUCACACAAGUUCCUUCAUCCUGGCUUUGGCCUGAAGAACAAUAUACUGUUUCUGUCAAACACUUGGAUAUCAGACCUUCAGCCAACCCUGUGCUGACACUCCCAAUCCUUUCACCCAGUGCAAGUAGUUCCUCAUAGCUCAUGUUGUCUGUGUCUAGCCUCAUAUCCCUAUGCUGAUCAAACAUAUUUCUGGAUCCAUAAAAGGCUGAGCGGUCCACAACCAUAAAACCCUCAGAUGAAAAUCGAUCAUGAAGACUUGGCUCAUGGUAUCUCUCAUAAGAAUUCCUUGAUCUCCCAUUCCUAUCACUAUUA
This 2881-nucleotide unclassified non-coding RNA is filed under the name Hevea brasiliensis (rubber tree). Lineage: Eukaryota; Viridiplantae; Streptophyta; Magnoliopsida; Malpighiales; Euphorbiaceae. The record is from RNAcentral.